This 429-nucleotide ribosomal RNA is filed under the name Gemmatimonadota bacterium. Its description in RNAcentral is "Gemmatimonadetes bacterium partial 16S ribosomal RNA". It matches the Rfam family "Bacterial small subunit ribosomal RNA", at positions 355 to 776 of the family's 1533-position model. Lineage: Bacteria; Pseudomonadati; Gemmatimonadota. The record is from RNAcentral.
UAGGGAAUCUUCGGCAAUGGACGAAAGUCUGACCGAGCAACGCCGCGUGAGUGAAGAAGGUUUUCGGAUCGUAAAACUCUGUUGUUAGAGAAGAACAAGGACGUUAGUAACUGAACGUCCCCUGACGGUAUCUAACCAGAAAGCCACGGCUAACUACGUGCCAGCAGCCGCGGUAAUACGUAGGUGGCAAGCGUUGUCCGGAUUUAUUGGGCGUAAAGCGAGCGCAGGCGGUUUCUUAAGUCUGAUGUGAAAGCCCCCGGCUCAACCGGGGAGGGUCAUUGGAAACUGGGAGACUUGAGUGCAGAAGAGGAGGGUGGAAUUCCAUGUGUAGCGGUGAAAUGCGUAGAUAUAUGGGGGAACACCAGUGGCGAAGGCGGCUCACUGGUCUGUAACUGACGCUGAGGCUCGAAAGCGUGGGGAGCAAACAGG